CAUACACACAUACACACACAAAAAAUGGGUAAAUUUUUCUGCAGAGAGUAUUUAUUUUUUGCGUGGGAGUCGAACACGGCGCAAAAUUUGCAAUAAGAGAUAACAAACAAAAAUUCCCAUUAAUGGGUAAAUCGAGUUUCUCCGUGUAUGCCGUUUUCAUCCGUCAUAAAUUCAAUGCUUACACGGAAGAAAAAAAGUACCCAAAAUUGAGUACUUUUAAACUUACUUUUGAGUUAUUUUUUCUCUUCGCUUUCAUCCACUCUUUCUUUUGUUGUCAAAAACAAAAGAGCCAAACAAUCCAACGACGCCAGUUCAAUACGGGAAGCCAAUUUUAAGUUUUAUUACCUGAGGUCGAAAUUGAGUGAAUUAAACUUAAAUUUGGGUCAAUAAAUUUUCCGUUGGGUACAUUUUUAACAUGGGAGUAAAGGCAAACUACUUCGACCCUACUUACUCAAUUUUGGCUUCCCGUACGGAUGUUCGAGGUUGGGUGAAUUAAACUCACUAUUGGGUAGUUUAUUUCUUCCGUGUAGGGUCUGUCUCAAUUGGAUAAUUAAACUGAAAUUAAACUUAAAAGUGACAUUUCAAUAAUUAUCGAAUAACCCUGCUCGCAGAGCAAGAUUACUUUUGACAGAUAUCGAAUCAUUUUCCAUCGAUGUCCUAUUGGAAUUGCUGGGUAGCACCAGCCAUUCUUAUAACGGGGUGAUUUUUUAAUUUUCGAACUGUCACUUUUAAGUUUAAUUCUCCAAAUGAGACAGACCUUAAAAUACCCCACACUUCGGUAAGUAUUCAUUCGUUUGUAAACAAAAUGUUUAUCGCACCAGCACGACUUCGUGACUUCGUGAGUGUUAUGCAAGUCUGACAAACAGUAACAGAACGUACAGAAGACGUGAAUGCCGCAUUCUUCAUAUUAAUCUUUGGAAGCAAUGCGAUACGGGCGUUCCAGACUACCGGAAUUCAUCCUAGUAACAGUGUUCGGAAUAGGAGGUGGAUUCUACGCGUUCUUACCGGCGAUCAAACAGUAUCAGCAAGAACAGGCAUCUUCGUCCUCGUCUGGGAUAGUAGUCGAUACAAGCCAAGCUACAGCCUCGUCGGACAAGUAGAAUUAGGGCACUUAGAAUAACCAGGAAAUAAAAAUGUCUACAUUGGGUAACAUGUACCGGAUGCUACGGGGUUCUCCCGUUAUGUUCCUCGGAGGUGCCAUACUUAUAACCGGUUCCAGUGUAUUUUUCAUGAAGAAUGUGUAUGGCCCAUACAGGGCUCGAAAUCGGCGUUCCGAGGCGGAAUACGUUGCGGACUAUCUGUUCCAAAGGGAACAAGGGUCACGAGGCGUGGAUUUUCAAAAUGACAAGGAAUUUUAAAUUUGUAGAUUGCUGUACGAAUAACAUCAUACAUAAGUAGUACCCCGAUUAUGAUCAUGAAUUACGGCAAUAAAACUUCUAACUGAAUCUGAGAA
Long non-coding RNA from Armigeres subalbatus, 1453 nucleotides. RefSeq lists it as uncharacterized. The transcript is spliced from 2 exons. NCBI's taxonomy places the organism in Eukaryota, Metazoa, Arthropoda, Insecta, Diptera, Culicidae. The record is from RefSeq and is a predicted model, not a curated record.